UACGAAGGGGGCUAGCGUUGCUCGGAAUCACUGGGCGUAAAGGGUGCGUAGGCGGGGCUUUAAGUCAGGGGUGAAAUCCUGGAGCUCAACUCCAGAACUGCCUUUGAUACUGAGGAUCUUGAGUACGGGAGAGGUGAGUGGAACUGCGAGUGUAGAGGUGAAAUUCGUAGAUAUUCGCAAGAACACCAGUGGCGAAGGCGGCUCACUGGCCCGGUACUGACGCUGAGGUGCGAAAGCGUGGGGAGCAAACAGG
This 253-nucleotide ribosomal RNA is filed under the name uncultured bacterium. Its description in RNAcentral is "partial 16S ribosomal RNA". It matches the Rfam family "Bacterial small subunit ribosomal RNA", at positions 524 to 776 of the family's 1533-position model. The record is from RNAcentral.